RNAcentral lists this ribosomal RNA (801 nucleotides) under uncultured Wolbachia sp. Its description in RNAcentral is "bacterial SSU rRNA". It matches the Rfam family "Bacterial small subunit ribosomal RNA", at positions 628 to 1428 of the family's 1533-position model. The record is from RNAcentral. Lineage: Bacteria; Pseudomonadati; Pseudomonadota; Alphaproteobacteria; Rickettsiales; Anaplasmataceae.
UAAAACUGCUAACCUAGAGAUUGAAAGAGGAUAGAGGAAUUCCUAGUGUAGAGGUGAAAUUCGUAAAUAUUAGGAGGAACACCAGUGGCGAAGGCGUCUAUCUGGUUCAAAUCUGACGCUGAGGCGCGAAGGCGUGGGGAGCGAACAGGAUUAGAUACCCUGGUAGUCCACGCUGUAAACGAUGAAUGUUAAAUAUGGGAAGUUUACUUUCUGUAUUACAGCUAACGCGUUAAACAUUCCGCCUGGGGACUACGGUCGCAAGAUUAAAACUCAAAGGAAUUGACGGGGACCCGCACAAGCGGUGGAGCAUGUGGUUUAAUUCGAUGCAACGCGAAAAACCUUACCACUCCUUGACAUGGAAAUUAUACCUAUUCGAAGGGAUAGGGUCGGUUCGGCCGGAUUUCACACAGGUGUUGCAUGGCUGUCGUCAGCUCGUGUCGUGAGAUGUUGGGUUAAGUCCCGCAACGAGCGCAACCCUCAUCCUUAGUUACCAUCAGGUAAUGCUGGGGACUUUAAGGAAACUGCCAGUGAUAAACUGGAGGAAGGUGGGGAUGAUGUCAAGUCAUCAUGGCCCUUAUGGAGUGGGCUACACACGUGCUACAAUGGUGGCUACAAUGGGCUGCAAAGUCGCGAGGCUAAGCUAAUCCCUUAAAAGCCGUCUCAGUUCGGAUUGUACUCUGCAACUCGAGUACAUGAAGUUGGAAUCGCUAGUAAUCGUGGAUCAGCAUGCCACGGUGAAUACGUUCUCGGGUCUUGUACACACUGCCCGUCACGCCAUGGGAAUUGGUUUCACUCGAAGCU